ACUUGACUGAUCCAAGAACAGGAAACUGAAAUUGCUAUAACCUUUCUUUAAACUUGCUGGUUUAAAAGUUGUCACUAAACAUUUUGCCAUACUUCAAGCCCUGAAAGGUUGUAAAAGAGAGGGUAAAAAGUUUGGCACUGUUGAAACAAGUGAUUUACUCAAUCGCCAGAUCUUAAUAUGAGACUGCUCUGUUUUCUGCUGCAUUUAUCCUAGUGUUCUUUAGGGCCAUGAGAAUCAAUGAGCUGGCACCUCUGAGUAAAGCAAAACAUGAUGGUUUAUUGGCAGAGGACUUUAUUUUAGGUGAGGGUUGUCUCCAGUUCCGCAUCAGGAAACCUAAGGUGGAUAUUUAUGGUAAAGUUGGGUGACACUGAAAAAGUUUUGAAAAUUUAUCAUGUUUCUCUUGUCCCUGCAACUGCCCCCAUGAAUGUAAGUUUGCUCUGGAAAUUUUAUCUAGCACAAGUUACAAACAAAUUGCUGUCAGACUAAGGGAAACGUGCUUGCAGAAUGAGCACCAAUGGGUGCACUUUGGCACUUUUUCCCCUGGUCUUUCCUGGUGAAACACCUGAUGAAUGGAAGUAGAACUAGGGCUUAUUCUCAACAUGUCCUACCACCAAUGAGGACUUGGUAUAAGGCAAGAGCCAACAGUACCAGUUCUGGGUGUGGGAGCUGGUGUGUGAGAAUAAUGGAUCAACCGCAGCAAAACACACAUGUAUAGCUUUUAGUAGUUUCCUAUUUUAAACAGUCCCCAUGAGAAAGUGUUCAUUUUACAUCUCCAUCCUUUGCAGAGUCUCAUGAGUUAUUAUUAGCCAACAGGCAAACAAGCAGUAACCUGAACUGCACUCUCACCAACUGUUCAGCCUGGCCUACUACCACAUGAAAACGACUACACCCCCACAAGUGCCACUGCUAAUUUUUCUUCCUGCUCAGUGGAGAAGCCAUCACGGGUUUUUGACUAAGAGGAGCCAAAGAGCCUUUCUAAAUGUACGACAUGGACUAAAAGCCUUAAAUCAAAAGGGAAUGAAUUCUCUCCUACGCAGAGGAGGACAUUAUCAUCAUAUUCAAGUACCCUAAGGAUCAAGAAAUAACUGUCAUCCUCGUCAUUUCUCAUAGUUGUACAGCAUGGAUCAAAACAUAUUGACAUUGGAAAUUGAUCAUCAAUAAAAGCUAAACUAAUGAACUUAAA
Long non-coding RNA from Xenopus laevis (African clawed frog), 1183 nucleotides. RefSeq lists it as uncharacterized. The record is from RefSeq and is a predicted model, not a curated record. NCBI's taxonomy places the organism in Eukaryota, Metazoa, Chordata, Amphibia, Anura, Pipidae. The transcript has 2 exons.